AUCAGCACAUGAGAGCUUGCC
Molecule: non-coding RNA, 21 nt
Filed under: Arabidopsis thaliana (thale cress)
Lineage: Eukaryota; Viridiplantae; Streptophyta; Magnoliopsida; Brassicales; Brassicaceae
Source: RNAcentral